This 301-nucleotide ribosomal RNA is filed under the name uncultured bacterium. Its description in RNAcentral is "partial 16S ribosomal RNA". It matches the Rfam family "Bacterial small subunit ribosomal RNA", at positions 512 to 808 of the family's 1533-position model. The record is from RNAcentral.
CAGCCGCCAGGUAAUACGAAGGGGGCUAGCGUUGCUCGGAAUUACUGGGCGUAAAGGGAGCGUAGGCGGAUCGUUUAGUCAGGGGUGAAAUCCCGGGGCUCAACCUCGGAACUGCCUUUGAUACUGGCGAUCUUGAGUAUGGGAGAGGUGUGUGGAACUCCGAGUGUAGAGGUGAAAUUCGUAGAUAUUCGGAAGAACACCAGUGGCGAAGGCGACACACUGGCCCAUUACUGACGCUGAGGCUCGAAAGCGUGGGGAGCAAACAAGAUUAGAUACCCCUGUAGUCCCUGUCUCUUAUACA